RNAcentral lists this ribosomal RNA (901 nucleotides) under Neofavolus subpurpurascens. RNAcentral's name for it is "partial large subunit ribosomal RNA". It matches the Rfam family "Eukaryotic large subunit ribosomal RNA", at positions 71 to 957 of the family's 3401-position model. Lineage: Eukaryota; Fungi; Basidiomycota; Agaricomycetes; Polyporales; Polyporaceae. The record is from RNAcentral.
AGGAUUCCCCUAGUAACUGCGAGUGAAGCGGGAAAAGCUCAAAUUUAAAAUCUGGCAGUCUUUGGCUGUCCGAGUUGUAGUCUGGAGAAGUGCUUUCCGCGCUGGACCGUGUAUAAGUCUCUUGGAACAGAGCGUCAUAGAGGGUGAGAAUCCCGUCUUUGACACGGACUACUAGUGCUUUGUGAUGCGCUCUCAAAGAGUCGAGUUGUUUGGGAAUGCAGCUCAAAAUGGGUGGUAAAUUCCAUCUAAAGCUAAAUAUUGGCGAGAGACCGAUAGCGAACAAGUACCGUGAGGGAAAGAUGAAAAGCACUUUGGAAAGAGAGUUAAACAGUACGUGAAAUUGCUGAAAGGGAAACGCUUGAAGUCAGUCGCGUUGUGCAGAACUCAACCUUGCUUUUGCUUGGUGCACUUUCUGCAUGACGGGCCAGCAUCAAUUUUGACUGUUGGACAAGGGUUGGGGGAAUGUGGCACCUUUCGGGGUGUGUUAUAGCCUUCAGCCGCAUGCAACAGUUGGGAUUGAGGAACGCAGCGCGCCGCAAGGCAGGGGUUUACCCACUUUCGCGCUUAGGAUGCUGGCAUAAUGGCUUUAAACGACCCGUCUUGAAACACGGACCAAGGAGUCUAACAUACCUGCGAGUGUUUGGGUGGAAAACCCGAGCGCGUAAUGAAAGUGAAAGUUGGGACCUCUGUCGUGGAGGGCACCGACGCCCGGAGCAGACGUUCUCUGACGCAUCCGCGGUUGAGCAUGUAUGUUGGGACCCGAAAGAUGGUGAACUAUGCCUGAAUAGGGUGAAGCCAGAGGAAACUCUGGUGGAGGCUCGUAGCGAUUCUGACGUGCAAAUCGAUCGUCAAAUUUGGGUAUAGGGGCGAAAGACUAAUCGAACCAUCUAGUAGCUGGUCU